RNAcentral lists this ribosomal RNA (2442 nucleotides) under Triticum aestivum (bread wheat). Its description in RNAcentral is "partial small subunit ribosomal RNA". The record is from RNAcentral. Lineage: Eukaryota; Viridiplantae; Streptophyta; Magnoliopsida; Poales; Poaceae.
AUGUUGGGCCGCAUGAAGUGCCUCGUCGGCGGCGCCGUCGACCAGGGCAGCCCGCGCGGAGCCGCCAGGAGGGUCUCGCCGGCGUCCGGCCGCGUGCACAACGCCGCAGCCGCCGCCGCGGGGCCGGGGGACAAGAGGGCCAUCUGCUUCCGCCCGCCGGACGUCAUGGAGACGGUGCACGAGGUGGCCGUCUACAUCCACCGCUUCCACAACCUCGAUCUCUUCCAGCAAGGAUGGUACCAGAUGAAGAUUAGUGCAAUGUGGGAGGAGGGUGAAAGCGGUAGCAAGACACCAGCUUCACCCGCAAGGGUGGUCCAGUACGAAGCUCCUGAUGUCGGUGCGGACGAUGCUUUAGGCAUAUGGAGAAUAGAUGACGCUGAUAACAGCUUCUACACACAGCCAUUCAGAAUCAAGUAUGCUCGACAAGACAUCUAUCUAUCGGUUAUGGUGUCUUUCAACAUACUCAAUGGUGAACAAGAGGGUCCAGCAGCUUCUGCUGUGAUAUUGAAGUACGAGUUAAUAUAUGCCCCAACACUGGAAAAUGGAUCUGAUAUCCAAUCUUCUAGCGCUACAUCUUCAGCUGCUGUACAUGAAUUUAGGAUCCCACGCAAAGCACUCCUGGGCUUACAUUCAUAUUGUCCAGUUCACUUCGAUGCAUUCCACGCGGUGCUUGUGGAUCUGACAUUACAUAUCGUGUACCUGAAAGCUGGUGCAAAUAAAUCAUCAUUGAAGAUACCAGAUCAAGGUUUACGCCCAACAUCACAUCACAUAAUCAAGGCAUUAUUGGCUUCGAGGGAAAUGUUACUUGAAGAAUUGAAGAAAAUCAGUGGUGCUGUUGGCAAAACAAUAGAAGAUUUAGAUGAUGCUGACUUAAGUCUUGGUAAAUAUGAGUCACUUCAGUCUUCAAAACCCGUCCAUCCCGAUUCUGGUAAAGUUUUCCCUGUAACUACCAAGGGUGUUGGGCAUUUGGCUGGCAUUUUACAUGACUUUCUGGAGAGACCCAACGAUGUUUUUGAUGGCACUAGUGAUGGUAUGCUGUAUACUCUUUCCAGUGAAGAGUUGUUAGAAUUGUUUGUAACCGUGAGCAGCCAACUUUCACUUCUAUGGAAUGCAUUCUUGAAAUUUCAUAGGACAAAUAAAACUAAGAUACUGGAUUACUUGCGGGACAUUUGGGCCGUUGACAGGAAAGCAGAAUGGUCAAUCUGGACUAAUCACUCUAAAAUCGAGAUUCCACACCGCUAUUUGCGGAGUAUGAGUGAUGACCCACCUCACCGCCAACACUCCCUCCUGAGAGUUUCUGGUUCAAGGAAGUUUCAUGAAGAUCCUGUACAAAAUUCUGCUUCACGGGCUGAGCUACACAGGAAGAGCAUAGCCCAAAUGAAGAUCAACACGAGGUCUGUUCAAGAUAUGCAUAUAUAUGCUGAUCCUUCGCGUGUACCUGUUGUUCUUAUAGAACAACAUGUCAUGGUUGUUCCACAACAUGGUUCAAACAAGGAUUUGGCAUCAAGUUCUUCAGAACAGAAGGAUACUAUUGUGCUACCUAAACUACAAGGAGAGUCUUUGGCGCUGAAAAAUAUCAAUGGUAAAAAAGGUGGACGCGUACUACGAGCUGUCAUCUUUGUGCAUGGAUUUCAGGGACACCAUUUGGAUUUACGUCUUGUUAGAAAUCAAUGGCUUCUAUUGGAUCCUGGAGCUGAAUGCCUAAUGUCUGAGGCUAAUGAAGACAAGACUUCUGGAGAUUUUAAAGAAAUGGGUGGCAGGCUUGCUGGGGAGGCUGUUGCAUUCUUGAAAAAGAAAGUGGAUAAGCUUGCAAGACAUGGAGGCUGCAAAGAAUUGAAGCUUAGUUUUGUUGGCCAUUCCAUUGGAAACAUUAUCAUCAGAACUGCCUUAGCAGAACCUGCAUUGCAGCCAUACUUGAAGAACCUCUACACAUACAUGUCGAUAUCAGGGCCUCACUUAGGUUACUGGUACAGCUCAAAUUCUUUGUUCAAUUCUGGUCUCUGGCUUCUAAAAAAGCUUAAGGGGGCACAAUGCAUCCAUCAACUUACUUUCAGUGACGAUCAAGACCCCCAGAAUACCUUUUUUUAUAGGCUUUGCAAGUCGAAGACACUAGAGAACUUCAAAAAUAUCAUAUUGUUAUCGUCACCACAGGAUGGGUAUGUACCAUAUCAUUCAGCAAGAAUCGAGCUCUGCCCAGCUGCGUCGGCUGAUAAUUCAAGGAAAGGUCAAGUCUUCACAGAAAUGCUGAAUAAUUGCUUGGAUCAGAUGCGUGCACCGUCGUCUGAAACUCGUAUAUUCAUGAGGUGUGAUGUUAAUUUCGACCAAUCUGCCCAUGGACGGAACCUGAACACCAUGAUCGGCAGAGCAGCCCACAUAGAAUUCCUGGAGACUGACAUCUACGCCAGGUUCAUCAUGUGGUCCUUCCCUGAACUUUUCCGAUGA